CCUACGGGUGACAGCAGUGAGGAAUAUUGGUCAAUGUACGAGAGUCUGAUCCAGCCAAGUAGCGUGAAGGAUGACUGCCCUAUGGGUUGUAAACUUCUUUUAUAAAGGAAUAAAACGAGGCACGUGUGCCUUUUUGCAUGUACGUUAUGAAUAAGGAUAGGUUAACUUCGUGCUAGCAGCCGCGGCAAUACGGAGGAUCCGAGCGUUAUCCGGGUUUAUUGGGUUUAAAGGGAGCGUAGAUGGGUUGUUAAGUCAGUUGUGAAAGUUUGCGGCUCAACCGUAAAAUUGCAAUUGAUACUGGCAGUCUUGAGUAAAGUUGAGGUAGGCGGAAUUCGUGGUGUAGCGGUGAAAUGCUUAGAUAUAACGAAGAACCCCGAUUGCGAAGGCAGCUUACUAAACUGUGACUGACAUUGAUGCUCGAAAGUGUGGGUAUCAAACAGGAUGAGAUACCCCUGUAGUC
RNAcentral lists this ribosomal RNA (460 nucleotides) under uncultured bacterium. RNAcentral's name for it is "partial 16S ribosomal RNA". It matches the Rfam family "Bacterial small subunit ribosomal RNA", at positions 338 to 795 of the family's 1533-position model. The record is from RNAcentral.